RNAcentral lists this ribosomal RNA (264 nucleotides) under uncultured bacterium. Its description in RNAcentral is "partial 16S ribosomal RNA". It matches the Rfam family "Bacterial small subunit ribosomal RNA", at positions 1237 to 1500 of the family's 1533-position model. The record is from RNAcentral.
AAACAGAGGGAAGCGAGCCUGCGAGGGGGAGCGAAUCCCAAAAAUAACGUCCCAGUUCGGAUUGUAGUCUGCAACCCGACUACAUGAAGCUGGAAUCGCUAGUAAUCGCGGAUCAGAAUGCCGCGGUGAAUACGUUCCCGGGUCUUGUACACACCGCCCGUCACACCAUGGGAGUCGGAAAUGCCCGAAGUCUGUGACCCAACCUUAGGGAGGGAGCAGCCGAAGGCAGGUCGGAUGACUGGGGUGAAGUCGUAACAAGGUACC